RNAcentral lists this ribosomal RNA (433 nucleotides) under uncultured bacterium. Its description in RNAcentral is "partial 16S ribosomal RNA". It matches the Rfam family "Bacterial small subunit ribosomal RNA", at positions 29 to 507 of the family's 1533-position model. The record is from RNAcentral.
AACGAACGCUGGCGGCAGGCCUAACACAUGCAAGUCGAGCGGACCCUUCGGGGUUAGCGGCGGACGGGUGAGUAACGCGUGGGAAUAUGCCCUUCUCUACGGAAUAGUCCUGGGAAACUGGGGGUAAUACCGUAUACGCCCUUUGGGGGAAAGAUUUAUCGGGAAAGGAUUAGCCCGCGUUGGAUUAGGUAGUUGGUGGGGUAAUGGCCUACCAAGCCGACGAUCCAUAGCUGGUUUGAGAGGAUGAUCAGCCACACUGGGACUGAGACACGGCCCAGACUCCUACGGGAAGCAGCAGUGGGGAAUCUUAGACAAUGGGGGCAACCCUGAUCUAGCCAUGCCGCGUGAGUGAUGAAGGCCUUAGGGUUGUAAAGCUCUUUCAGCUGGGAAGAUAAUGACGGUACCAGCAGAAGAAGCCCCGGCUAACUCCGUG